AGACUCUGGCACACUUUCAGCGUACAUCAAUGAGCUUGCAACUCAACAUGAAUUUCACUACAGAGCC
RNAcentral lists this transfer RNA (67 nucleotides) under Antigone canadensis (Sandhill crane). Its description in RNAcentral is "tRNA-Cys". The record is from RNAcentral. Lineage: Eukaryota; Metazoa; Chordata; Aves; Gruiformes; Gruidae.